UUUCUCAAGCCAAAAACAGUCGUAGCCUCCUAGGAUGCAUGAAUCAUCAAAUGUUACGUUAGUUCUUGUUAUAUAUUUCUCAUUUUAAAGAACGAAAUUAAAUAGAUUAAAUUAUGUAUAAUCAUUUUAAGUACCGGACUGUGUUUCGGCUGCCGCGGCCACUUCGGAUACGACGAGAAGAAUUGCAAAGAGACUCAACAGAACCAAAGCCUUGGAAGCCAUUAGCUCAAUUG
Molecule: long non-coding RNA, 233 nt
Filed under: Capsella grandiflora
Lineage: Eukaryota; Viridiplantae; Streptophyta; Magnoliopsida; Brassicales; Brassicaceae
Description: long non-coding RNA (CGRA_LNC000165)
Source: RNAcentral